RNAcentral lists this ribosomal RNA (253 nucleotides) under uncultured bacterium. RNAcentral's name for it is "partial 16S ribosomal RNA". It matches the Rfam family "Bacterial small subunit ribosomal RNA", at positions 524 to 776 of the family's 1533-position model. The record is from RNAcentral.
GACAGAGGGUGCAAACGUUGUUCGGAAUUACUGGGCGUAAGGCGCGUGUAGGUGGCGAGGCAAGUCGGGUGUGAAAGCCCUGGGCUCAACCCAGGAAGUGCACUCGAUACUGCCUAGCUAGAGUCCCGGAGAGGUUGGUGGAACUCUCGGUGUAGAGGUGAAAUUCGUAGAUAUCGAGAGGAACACCGAUGGCGAAGGCAGCUCGCUGGGACGGUACUGACGCUGAGGCGCGAAAGCGUGGGGAGCAAACAGG